RNAcentral lists this transfer RNA (65 nucleotides) under Rhizophagus aeneus. RNAcentral describes it as "tRNA-Arg". Lineage: Eukaryota; Metazoa; Arthropoda; Insecta; Coleoptera; Monotomidae. The record is from RNAcentral.
AAAUAAGAAGCAAUUCUUGCAUUUAGUUUCGACCUAAAAGUUUGAUAAAAAUUUAUCCUUAUUUA